RNAcentral lists this ribosomal RNA (264 nucleotides) under uncultured Enterococcus sp. RNAcentral's name for it is "partial 16S ribosomal RNA". It matches the Rfam family "Bacterial small subunit ribosomal RNA", at positions 505 to 767 of the family's 1533-position model. Lineage: Bacteria; Bacillati; Bacillota; Bacilli; Lactobacillales; Enterococcaceae. The record is from RNAcentral.
GUGCCAGCCGCUGCGGUAAUACGUAGGUGGCAAGCGUUGUCCGGAUUUAUUGGGCGUAAAGCGAGCGCAGGCGGUUUCUUAAGUCUGAUGUGAAAGCCCCCGGCUCAACCGGGGAGGGUCAUUGGAAAACUGGGAGACUUGAGUGCAGAAGAGGAGAGUGGAAUUCCAUGUGUAGCGGUGAAAUGCGUAGAUAUAUGGAGGAACACAGUGGCGAAGGCGGCUCUCUGGUCUGUAACUGACGCUGAGGCUACGAAAGCGUGGGAG